Thalassophryne amazonica is the source of this 155-nucleotide long non-coding RNA. RefSeq lists it as uncharacterized. The transcript is spliced from 3 exons. The record is from RefSeq and is a predicted model, not a curated record. NCBI's taxonomy places the organism in Eukaryota, Metazoa, Chordata, Actinopteri, Batrachoidiformes, Batrachoididae.
UCAAGUCAGUGAAUAUGUCUUGGACUAUAUUUACAUUCUAUUACGAAGAAAUACAAACGGUAUGACACGCUAUGGUAAAUCUCUGUGGAAUAGACAGUUCUCAAAAACUGAGUGACUGCGCAUAAGGAGAAGAGUGAGGAAAGUUACCAAGACAA